UGCAAUUCUAGCAAUUAAGCAGCCUCAAAGCUUCUGUGAACUCUAUAAAUUCCACCUCUAAUUCUCUUUUGCAAGCAUCCCACUCAUCACUUUUUCACUUACUCUAUUUAGGCCAAUCUCUCUCAAAAUGUUAACCCACAACAGCAUGAUGAACCUUCUGUUUACCAUCACCCUGGCAAUAAUUCUUGCAGGAGCCCUCCCUAAAAAUGUCAUGGGCCAAGGUGUCUCGGUGCCAGACCUUGUGACACCAGCUUUCUUUAAUGGCAUAAUCAAUCAAGCUCCUGCAGGUUGUGCAGGAAAGAAUUUCUACUCAAGGGAUGCUUUUCUUAAAGCUCUCAAUUCAUAUCCUCAAUUUGGAAAAUUAGGUUCCGCUGAUGAUUCUAAACGGGAAGUUGCUGCCUUUUUUGCUCAUACCACCCAUGAGACUGGAUAUUUCUGCUACAAACAGGAGCAAAAUGUUCCUGCUAAUGAGAACUACUGCGAUAAAAACUUCCCAGCUUAUCCAUGUACCCCAGGCAAGAGAUACUUCGGGCGCGGUCCACUUCAACUAACAUGGAACUACAACUACGGAGCAGCUGGUAAAAGCAUCGGCUUUAAUGGGCUGAACAAUCCUGAAAUUGUGGCCACAGAUCCUGUCAUAUCAUUCAAGACUGCCUUAUGGUAUUGGAUGCAAAAUGUCCGCCCUUCUGUGACCCAAGGUUUUGGAGCUACGAUUAAAGCCAUUAAUGGUGCUGUUGAAUGCAAUGGAAAAGAACCUGCCAAAGUUAAAGCUAGAAUUGAUCUCUACACUAAAUAUUGCGGCCAAUUUGGUGUUUCUCCAGGGGGUAAUCUCCAAUGCUGAGAUACUUUUGCAUUGAAGAAGUCAGAAUAAUAAAUGCACGUACGCCAAUCCUGCUAGCUUAGAUGAUAUCCUUAUUUAUGAGUGGGUCGAGUUUGAAUUUUCUUAUUGGUCAAUGGUCAUGUCUUGUACUGACUGAAUUAUUAUGUAAGGUAGGAUUGUAAAAGAGGAUUUGUAUCCUCCCAUUGUACGAGAGCUUACUGCGUGCAGAUAAAUAAUAAAAAUAUAAAAUAAAUGCAUCAUUUUCU
This 1086-nucleotide unclassified non-coding RNA is filed under the name Hevea brasiliensis (rubber tree). The record is from RNAcentral. Lineage: Eukaryota; Viridiplantae; Streptophyta; Magnoliopsida; Malpighiales; Euphorbiaceae.